This 433-nucleotide ribosomal RNA is filed under the name uncultured bacterium. Its description in RNAcentral is "partial 16S ribosomal RNA". It matches the Rfam family "Bacterial small subunit ribosomal RNA", at positions 29 to 507 of the family's 1533-position model. The record is from RNAcentral.
AACGAACGCUGGCGGCAUGCCUAACACAUGCAAGUCGAACGAGACCUUCGGGUCUAGUGGCGCACGGGUGCGUAACGCGUGGGAACCUGCCCUUAUGGUCGGACUAACUCCCCGAAAGGGGUGCUAAUACCGGAUAAUGUCUUCGGACCAAAGAUUUUUCGCCUUGGGUUGGUCCCGCGUUGGAUUAGCUAGUUGGUAGGGUAAAAGCCUACCAAGGCGUCGAUCCAUAGCUGGUCUGUGAGGAUGAUCAGCGACACUGGGACUGAGACACGGCCCAGACUCCUACGGGAGGCAGCAGUGGGGAAUAGUGGACCAUGGGCGAAAGCCUGAUCCAGCAAUGCCGCGUGAGUGAUGAAGGCCUUAGGGUUGUAAAGCUCUUUUACCCGGGAUGAUAAUGACAGUACCGGGAGAAUAAGCUCCGGCUAACUCCGUG